GGAUGUGUUUUUCGAUUUUCACAUAUUGAUCGUCGCCCUGUCUGAAUGAAACAUAUACUCGUCUAAUGGAAUAAUAAUGAAAUUACUUUUGUGUAGUACUACUAACAUCAGUGGUGGCUCGUGAGCCUUGUAAGGCGGUGAGGCGAAUGUUUUAAAAAUUACAAGGUGAACGAGUAUCAGAGGCCUGCUCACAAGCGGGAUGACUGUGUCAUAUGUCCUAUAUUAACUUUUUUUUUCUUCAGUAUACGUCAUAAUAUAUAGAAAAAAACUAUAAGUGGAUCAAAAAUACAAAAAAACGAGGUGCUGUUAUCAUUAAAAGUAUUAUUUGUUGAUAUUAUG
Cinara cedri is the source of this 339-nucleotide non-coding RNA. The record is from the annotation of a GenBank genome assembly. NCBI's taxonomy places the organism in Eukaryota, Metazoa, Arthropoda, Insecta, Hemiptera, Aphididae.